CCUACGGGAGGCUGCAGUGGGGAAUAUUGGGCAAUGGAGGAAACUCUGACCCAGCAACGCCGCGUGCAUGAUGAAGGUCUUCGGAUUGUAAAGCUCUUUUCUAAGGGAAGAAGAAAGUGACGGUACCUUAGGAAUAAGCCUCUGCUAACUACGUGCCAGCAGCCGCGGUAAUACGUAGGAGGCGAGCGUUAUCCGGAAUGACUGGGCGUAAAGGGUGCGUAGGUGGUUUGGCAAGUUAGUAGCGUAACUCCAAGGCUCAACCUUGGAACUACUACUAAUACUGUUGGGCUUGAGUGCAGGAGGGGUAACCGGAAUGCAUAGUGUAGCGGUGGAAUGCGUAGAGAUUAGGAGGAACACCAGUGGCGAAGGCGGGUUGCUAGGCUGUAACUGACGCUGAGGCACGAAAGCGUGUGGAGCAAACAGGAUUAGAUACCCGGGUAGUC
Molecule: ribosomal RNA, 443 nt
Filed under: uncultured bacterium
Lineage: Bacteria
Description: partial 16S ribosomal RNA
Rfam family: Bacterial small subunit ribosomal RNA
Source: RNAcentral